Pungitius pungitius (ninespine stickleback) is the source of this 1147-nucleotide long non-coding RNA. RefSeq lists it as uncharacterized. The record is from RefSeq and is a predicted model, not a curated record. The transcript has 3 exons. Lineage: Eukaryota; Metazoa; Chordata; Actinopteri; Perciformes; Gasterosteidae.
UUUCCUUUCUGAUGGGCAGGUGACAUAGUUCUUAUGUGUCCUUUAUAAUGUUAAUUUUCCUUUUUGAUGGACAGGAGACACAGUUCUCACAUGUCCUCUAAUGUUAAGUUUCCUUUGUAAUAGAUGGGAGACACAAUCCUCCUGUGUCCUCUGUAAAGACACCUUCCAGUUUUGUCCUCAUCUCCUUCCUCAAUGGGUGGAUCAGUUUACAGCAUCUAAGACAUGCCAAAGACUGCAGCACCAACUGAACUGUCUAACACCAUUAGACCUCAUAGAGACACAUUUUACUUCCUGGCUGUCCGAGUCAUCUUUAAAGCACAGGAUGAGAAAACACCUGCUGGUCUUUGCCUCACUUUUUCUCUGACUCUGAGAUUCUGGAUCAGCUCAUACCGAACAAGACAUCAUGCCACCACAGAGCAGAUGUUGGAGCACUAUCUUAACUGUCAGUGGACACCUCACGGCUGGACCACAGAGACACGUGUUCUCUCUGUCAGUUUCGAGUUUUUUUCACAACAGAUAAUAAGCUCCUUCUCCUCUGUGAUUUCUCCACUUCACAAUGAAGACACUCAGGACUGCAGAAAGGGCUAAACACACAAAUGAAGAUCAUGCAGCGUAUUCAGUUGCACUGGCGAUACAAGUUGUUCUGCCCUGCAGCCCGAGUUCAAGGACCAGCAUUGUCCUCCUACCCCCCUGUCUCCAUUUGUGCAUCCAUUGGUGCCCACUGGUCCGUUCAGCAGAGACUAACAGUUGGUUCUUAAGCAAGAGAUCAUGUGUGCAACUGCAAUGAAACAGCUGCAGAUGAGUCUUCAGUCAGUCAUCACUGUCACAGCCCCAAUUUUGUGAAGCAUUAAGCUCCUUCCUAAACCAGCAGUAACGGUAACAAUUUGUUAAUAUAUCCUUUUUAAAAUAUAUCUCUGGUAGUCUUACUACUUGCAUGUGCUAUUUACAUUUUUAACUACAUGAAUGAAGCUUCUCCUGUUUUUGUCUUUAAGGCCUCUCCUCCUCCAUGUUGCUAUAGAAACACUAUCCUUGCACUAAGCAAUGACAUAAUAACUGGUGUAGUGGUUCAGGUCAAAGGUCACAAUACUACAGGUCUUUACAGCGUACAAAACAAAUUCAAGAAAAGUAUGGUUAUCUCUAAAAACUA